AGGAGGAAAAUUCAUUUGCGAAGUCUUUUCGAACACACAAAGCCCUAACAUCCAUUUUUCACUUCCAUUUGAACAAAAUAAAAAACAAAGAGAAUCUCAUUUUCUGAGAAGAGAAAAAAAAAAAAAAAAAACAUGGCUGCUUUGGAUGAAAGCGCUUCUGCUAAGAGAUGGCUUCCUCUUGAAGCUAACCCCGAUGUUAUGAACCAGUUUCUCUGGGGCCUUGGUCUUAAAGAAGAUGUAGCAGAGUGCUAUGAUGUUUAUGGCUUGGAUGAAGAACUUUUAGAAAUGGUCCCAAAGCCUGUACUUGCUGUGCUAUUUCUUUAUCCCGUAACUGCACAGAGCGAAGAAGAGAGAAUGCUGCAGGCAAAUGAAAAACAGGAACCUCAUGGGAGAGUUUAUUUUAUGAAACAAACUGUGGACAAUGCUUGUGGAACAAUAGGUCUUCUGCAUGCCAUUGGAAAUAUUACUUCAGAGAUCAAGCUUGGCUUUCUACUCCAGAGCAUAUCGGAACUUUUGUUUGGCACAACUCACAGUUACAUCAUGCUAGGAAUUGAUGGAUCCUUCUUGGAUAGGUUUUUCAAAUCUACUGCAAGCAUGAACCCAUUGGAGCGUGCAGCAUUUCUUGAGGGCGACAGAGAAAUGGAAGUUGCUCAUUCAGUAGCUGCUAUUGGUGGUGAUACAGAGAUUUUCUUUGCAGGCUUCACACAACGUGGACGACCAUUUUAUCUGCUUUGCAUGUGUGGAUGGGGUACUUUAUGAGCUUGACGGUGAUAAGACGGGACCAAUUUCUCAUGGUGCUUCUUCACCAGACAGUCUAUUACAGGAUGCUGCUAAAGUCAUAAAGGGCAUUAUCCAGAAAAACCCCGACUCGCUCAACUUCAAUGUGAUUGCCAUUUCAAAGAAAGCUUGAACAGUUUGAGAUUGUCCCCAAGGUUUCUCACAUAGAAUAUGUCGAUGCCGUAGUACUACGUGAUGUAAUUUUUAGUAUUCUCUGUAGUCUGAAAUAACUUUUUUCACAAUUAUUAUGUUCAUAUAGGCUUUACAGCCCCCAUUCCCAUAA
This is an RNA transcript of Ziziphus jujuba (common jujube), 1060 nucleotides long. It is a transcript of the gene named ubiquitin carboxyl-terminal hydrolase 3-like, with no coding region annotated. The transcript has 10 exons. Lineage: Eukaryota; Viridiplantae; Streptophyta; Magnoliopsida; Rosales; Rhamnaceae. The record is from RefSeq and is a predicted model, not a curated record.